CUGUUUACAUACCGAACACAGAAGUAAAGUCCUUCAGCGCUGAAAGUACUUGGUGGGCAACUGCCUGGGAGGAUAGGACAUCGCGGGGU
This 89-nucleotide ribosomal RNA is filed under the name Eubacterium limosum. The record is from RNAcentral. RNAcentral also lists the same sequence under 1 other name. Lineage: Bacteria; Bacillati; Bacillota; Clostridia; Eubacteriales; Eubacteriaceae.